CGGCAGCGGGAAGAUAGCUUGCUAUCUUCGCCGGCGAGCGGCGGACGGGUGAGUAAUACCUGGGGAUCUGCCCAAUCGAGGGGGAUAACAGUUGGAAACGACUGCUAAUACCGCAUACGCCCUACGGGGGAAAGGAGGGGACCUUCGGGCCUUCCGCGAUUGGAUGAACCCAGGCGGGAUUAGCUAGUAGGUGAGGUAAUGGCUCACCUAGGCGACGAUCCCUAGCUGUUCUGAGAGGAUGGACAGCCACACUGGAACUGAGACACGGUCCAGACUCCUACGGGAGGCAGCAGUGGGGAAUAUUGGACAAUGGGGGAAACCCUGAUCCAGCCAUGCCGCGUGUGUGAAGAAGGCCUUCGGGUUGUAAAGCACUUUCAGUGGGGAGGAAAGGUUGAUGGUUAAUACCUAUCAGCUGUGACGUUACCCACAGAAGAAGCACCGGCUAACUCCGUGCCAGCAGCCGCGGUAAUACGGAGGGUGCAAGCGUUAAUCGGAAUUACUGGGCGUAAAGCGUGCGCAGGCGG
Molecule: ribosomal RNA, 524 nt
Filed under: bacterium SM61
Lineage: Bacteria
Description: bacterial SSU rRNA
Rfam family: Bacterial small subunit ribosomal RNA
Source: RNAcentral